GUCCACGCCCUAAACUAUGUCAACUAGACGUUGGGCUCUUUAAUGAGCUUAGUGUCGAAGCUAACGCGUUAAGUUGACCGCCUGGGGAGUACGGCCGCAAGGUUGAAACUCAAAGGAAUUGACGGGGGCCCGCACAAGCGGUGGAGCAUGUGGUUUAAUUCGAUGCAACGCGAAGAACCUUACCAGCCCUUGACAUCCUGGGAACUUUGUAGAGAUACAUUGGUGCCUUCGGGAAUCCAGAGACAGGUGCUGCAUGGCUGUCGU
Molecule: ribosomal RNA, 264 nt
Filed under: uncultured bacterium
Lineage: Bacteria
Description: partial 16S ribosomal RNA
Rfam family: Bacterial small subunit ribosomal RNA
Source: RNAcentral